GACGAACGCUGGCGGCGUGCUUAACACAUGCAAGUCGAACGGAAAGGCCCUGCUUUUGUGGGGUGCUCGAGUGGCGAACGGGUGAGUAACACGUGAGUAACCUGCCCUUGACUUUGGGAUAACUUCAGGAAACUGGGGCUAAUACCGGAUAGGAGCUCCUGCUGCAUGGUGGGGGUUGGAAAGUUUCGGCGGUUGGGGAUGGACUCGCGGCUUAUCAGCUUGUUGGUGGGGUAGUGGCUUACCAAGGCUUUGACGGGUAGCCGGCCUGAGAGGGUGACCGGCCACAUUGGGACUGAGAUACGGCCCAGACUCCUACGGGAGGCAGCAGUGGGGAAUAUUGCACAAUGGGCGGAAGCCUGAUGCAGCAACGCCGCGUGCGGGAUGACGGCCUUCGGGUGGUAAACCGCUUUCGCCUGUGACGAAGCGUGAGUGACGGUAAUGGGUAAGAAGCACCGGCUAACUACGUG
This 467-nucleotide ribosomal RNA is filed under the name uncultured bacterium. RNAcentral describes it as "partial 16S ribosomal RNA". It matches the Rfam family "Bacterial small subunit ribosomal RNA", at positions 28 to 507 of the family's 1533-position model. The record is from RNAcentral.